Long non-coding RNA from Corvus hawaiiensis (hawaiian crow), 4663 nucleotides. RefSeq lists it as uncharacterized. Lineage: Eukaryota; Metazoa; Chordata; Aves; Passeriformes; Corvidae. The transcript is spliced from 4 exons. The record is from RefSeq and is a predicted model, not a curated record.
UUCUAAAUCAAGCAGGAGAACCAGCUCAGCUGGGGGGUUCAAGCCCAGACUCGCAUCCUGUGAAGGAGUCCAGCCUUUUGCUCGCCGGAGCGUUUUAAACGAAGGACCGGCUGCUCUCCUGUUACCAGGUGGGAAUUGGGAGCGCUGGCAUCUAUCCCCGGCUCAAAGUGAGAUUCCUUUUAAGAUUCGUGUCAACACUGCUGAGAACCGGGAUUUCUGUGAGCAGUUCCCCGGGGUGGGAGCUGGGCGGGAUGCGGGAGCCGCAGCCGUGCACUGCCCGCCGCCGUCGCUAAAGGGAGCUCCAGGCUCAGAGCUCGGCUCUGCCUCCCGCUUCAAAUGUCACCAAACCCGUUCUCUUCCCUCCUCCACUAACCAGGUUACAGACACUGAUUAAGAGUGCUAUAUAAUCUUUGGAUUCAUCUGUCCAACAAUCAUCUAAUUAAUUAAUCAUUGAUAAUUAAAAUGACCUUCUUUUGACUGAUACCUGAUCUCAGAAAAGUUCAAAAGAAACUUGACACAUGUUGUGUCAUGUUCCAGUAUAACCCAUGACAGCUUUACCCCUCCAUUGUUUUAUUCAGAGCAAAUUGUGAUCCAACUGCAGGAGGGGCUGUCCUUAUCAGCCAGGGCUGCCAUGGCGCACGUGCCUCAGCACGGGGUACAAAUACACACACCCUGGCUCCCAGUUCAGAUGACUCUGUCCAUUGGUGAGCAGCUUGUGAAAGCCCUUCAAAACUCUUCAGUUAGCCAAGGGUUUAAAAAAAGAGGAAUAAAGUAUUCAUGCAUUUUCAUGGUUUUCACAUCUUCUGGGGGAAAAAGAAGAAAAAAGAAGCAUAUGUUGAAAUUCAGCCACUGAUAUUUGCUAAGAUUUAUGAAAAAAGAGUGGUAAAUCGACUGGGGUCUGCAUGGAGGAGUGGUAGACGUAUUUUCCUCUGCCUUGCUUCUCAGUGGGAUGCUGAAUGUCUUUUUCUCACAAUUAAUACAGCAGAACAUUUUGCUUUAAGGAUCUGAACAACUUUGCUCCCUCUCAGCCUGAAGUUAUACCCUUAAUAUUAGGAGAAUGUGGGCUUUUCUCAGGGUUCUUUAAGCCCAGUGUAUGUUACAUAAAGUCCUUUACACACAUGGCACAAAACAUUCUUUCACUUGUGUCUCUCAACAUUUGUAUUUGUGGUCAACUGAGUAGUAUCUUUUGUGUGCUGAUUCCUACAAAAGAAUAAUACUAGUCUGUUUUGUCUGUUGACAAGAUCUUCAAAUCCUACUGCCCCUCUGACACAUUAAAACAGUGCAUUUCUGUCUAGUUUUAUUUUUAUGAUACGAGGAUUUAGCUAAGACUUUGACACCAUGGAAACUAGACACAGGACACAAUCCUGUUCUAUCUAAAUAUAUCCCCUGACUUUCAAUCACACUUGCCUCUUUUAUAUUUCAUGAAAACCGCUCUUUACCUUCCUCCAUCUAGGCAAGUUUUUUUGGCCAGCAGGAUCACCUUGGGCCCACUCUUAGCUUUCAUCACCAGCCAUUACCACUUCAAGAGAGAAUCUCAUGCACUGAGUGGAGGGGAGGCAAUACAAGAAAACAGGCCCUGAAAUUUGAUGUAGCAUCACUGAGAUAAUUCUCAAAGAAAUUGAAUGUUAAAUGGAAAGCAACUUUUACCCCUCCUAAGUGCCAAAUGCAACUUUAAUUAAGCAAAGCAGAUCAGCUUUUUCCUUGUGCUGUAACAAGAAAGGACUGUCCCUUUCUUAACCCACCAGCUCCACUAUAGAUCUUUGGUAUUUUCUAUUACUGUCCUUGGGCAUUAGUUUUUCAUGGCUAGUUACAGCUCACAAUCAUAACGCUCAUUUAUACUUCUUAUCUACAGGGCUACAACAUCACCACUACUCUUUUUUUAAGCCACCAAAUUAUCCCUUCGUCAUAGCUCACAGAGGUUCUGCUUGAGUAAAAGAGGUGGGAGGGACAAGCUUGAAAUGCAACUUGAUGAAAACACAUUUCCCAUUUCAGUGUGGAGUCAGAUAGCUGCACUUCUGGAGACAAAAAAGCUAUACCUGUCUCUUAAAACCAGCUUUGUGGACUGAUGUGGAUUUUCCUCCCACUGUGAAAUCAGGACACAAAAUUGAGGCCAGAGUCAGGAAACUUAAUGUAGUUAUCAGGUAGCCCUGGUGGAAGCAUGGGUGCACACAGUCCUCAGAAUGCAAGAUGGAGCUACCUCUCCAUUCCUUUCUACCAGACACAGCAAAAAGCCCUAGGAAGGCCAAAAAAAAUUCCCGUCCAAAAAAAAUUGAGUAUUUCUUCCCACCACGGGCUGGCUGGCUAUUUUUGAGCAGCUUGUUUUAAGUGUCAACAUGUGUUAUUUUGCCUGGCCAAGACAAGUGAGCUGAUAGCUGAAUGAAUGAAGCAGGCAAGACAUGCAGGAGGAGUUAGAACAAAUGUCUUAAAUUUUUGAGCCUGUCUGUUUUGCCACUGACCCAUGGAGUGAGGAGCUGUGUCAGCUAAUCACCUAGCUGGCCACUGCCGACAGACAAAUACCUCGUGGUGACAUCUGAUGGGAGUUGUUACAAAGCACCAACAUUUCAGGGCUUUGAGCCGAGGCUGAGCCAGCGCCCAGCAAGUGCUCAACAACACACAUGCAAAACACCCAAAAGUGUUCAGAUGAAUUCCUUAAAGAGUGUUUACUUGGGCAUUUUUAUCCUAAACCAGUGAUGAUAACUAACUGAUUAAUGAUAUCACAGCCAUCAAAAGCGAUAGCUUGUUUUCAAGGAGCAUCCAACAAUAACUUGCUGCUUUUACGGCUUUAAUUGUAAAAGCAAAUAAUUACAUCCUUUUCAAGGCUUAAAGAGAAUUGCUUGCAACUGUAAACAGAAACUAUGAAAAUUCUCCAGCACAAUACCCAUUUUUAAAUGGCCACUUUUCCUAAAAAAAAAAAAAAAAAAAAAAAAAAGCUUGUAACAGCUCUGUUUCAGGUACAUAUUCAGGAACUAAUUACUGAUAUGGACAGUACCCAGAUCAUCAGAUGAGGCUCUGCUCAUCAUCAGGGUGUCUUGACCCAUGGAUGGAAUUGGCCCACAAAAUUUUUUUUUUAAUCAUGUGCAAUGCUGGCCACACUGGGAGGAAUGCAGAUGACCUCAGGACUGAGUCAGUUCCUCUGUCAUUACUCUACAAACCACUGCAGUGGCUGGUUCAUUUUUCUUCUUUCGAGUUCCCCUCCCAGCAUCUGAUAAAUCUCAUAUUCUUUGUGCACUGUGAAAUAGGGACCCAUUGCAAACUCUGGAUGCAAAUCAUACAGGAAGGCAAAGUGUGAAUGCAGCUCUGUUUGCCUCACAAACCUUUUAUAUUCUGAUGGAUUUUGGUGCCUGGGAUUGAUCUCUAUGUAAGGUGCACAAACAACACACAGGUCACAAAAGACCAUCCAACAAAUAAACCUAUUUACUGAUACCUUCCACCUGACACAGUCAGCAAGGUUUUUACAUCAGCUUUGUUCUAGCCCAGCUUCUCCAGGGUCUGACCCAGUCUCCCCCAAAGUGGCAACAGAACCAGAUUUAACUGGACUAGAGUUGAAUGGAGCUUUGCAAACAUAAGUUACAACCCAUUCAGUAAACAAAGUUUGGUAUCAAAACUGAAGCACUUUAAAAGUCCAUUUUUAGCUGCUUACAAAGGAACAAGCUUGCCAACCUGUGAGGUAUGAAGUGUAUGUGGAGUGUGGAACUACACCAAAAGUCCCUUUCACAUCAGCAAUCUUAAGCACUCAGCAAUGAGCAUUGUUGCUUUGAAUGUUUCCAGCUCCUGAAGCAAUUCCAGGCAGACAUGCUGACAAAAGAAUAAUUUUAUCAGCAUAUGGCUGAUCACAGCAUCCAAUUCCACCAGUAUGAAAUGGCCCCGUAGUGCACACCAGCAUUUCUGCAUACAAGUGAAACAGAUGCUGCAGAGAUCAAUGUAAGAACAGCUUAAUUAAUUUUAGUGUCAAAGUGCUUCCUUAUUUCCAGUUGACAUGUCCUUAAUUUCAUGGUUGGCUCUAUAAAUUUUAGAAACAGGAGGAGAAAUUUGAUUUGAGGGUUAAAUACUGCAGAAAGGCCUAAUAAAAUGCAAGAGAAGCACUCCUUCAUAGUAUUCAUAACCUUGAAGCCAUAGUACUGUCCAUUGUCCUCAGUUUGUUAUGAGUGUUCUACAGUCACAGUUUCAUUUUCACAGAGCACAUCCCUUACUCCAAGCAGUCCUCUGGCAUAAAAGUGUAGUAGCAUCCUGAAGCUCCAACCCUGGGACAAGAUCCCAUUGCAGGUGACAUGCUGGGCUAGGAAUCAAGAGACCUCACUCCAGACCUCACUCUGCAAGCAGUGUUUUCUGUUGGACAUCCUGAGAAUCUAUUUACCACUAAAAAAUCUCAUUGCAUCAGAGCAAGAUCUUUUAUCCCUCAGCACUGGUCAACAUUGUACAGCUCCUACUCCAAAAUGGUGUUCAGCAGAUGAGCUGGACAUGUGGAGGAGAGGAAAUGUGUCCUUGGACAAAUUAUUUUAUAUUUCAGGUCGCCAAUAGCACCAAGCACUAUCUGUAUAUUACAGGAGUGGAAAGGCUGCAUGUCCUGCAUCUCCUGUUAGUGCCCUCCUGUCCAGCUCCACAGAACAGACAGGGGAAAAACAGCACGUUAAAUAAAAACACAUUCAAAAAGGAAAUAUUGCAC